RNAcentral lists this ribosomal RNA (582 nucleotides) under uncultured bacterium. RNAcentral describes it as "bacterial SSU rRNA". It matches the Rfam family "Bacterial small subunit ribosomal RNA", at positions 340 to 922 of the family's 1533-position model. The record is from RNAcentral.
UACGGGAGGCAGCAGUGAGGAAUAUUGGUCAAUGGACGGAAGUCUGAACCAGCCAUGCCGCGUGCAGGAAGACGGCUCUAUGAGUUGUAAACUGCUUUUGUACGAGGGUAAACGCAGAUACGUGUAUCUGCCUGAAAGUAUCGUACGAAUAAGGAUCGGCUAACUCCGUGCCAGCAGCCGCGGUAAUACGGAGGAUCCAAGCGUUAUCCGGAUUUAUUGGGUUUAAAGGGUGCGUAGGCGGUUUAGUAAGUCAGCGGUGAAGUUUUGGUGCUUAACACCAAACGUGCCGUUGAUACUGCUGGGCUAGAGAGUAGUUGCGGUAGGCGGAAUGUAUGGUGUAGCGGUGAAAUGCUUAGAGAUCAUACAGAACACCGAUUGCGAAGGCAGCUUACCAAACUAUAUCUGACGUUGAGGCACGAAAGCGUGGGGAGCAAACAGGAUUAGAUACCCUGGUAGUCCACGCAGUAAACGAUGAUAGCUCGUUGUCGGCGAUACACAGUCGGUGACUAAGAGAAAUCGAUAAGCUAUCCACCUGGGGAGUACGUUCGCAAGAAUGAAACUCAAAGGAAUUGACGGGGGCCC